GCGAGUGCGUGGCGAGGGGCAGCGGGAGUACGGAGGGGGCAAGGGUGGUCCGGUGUUAGUGGGCGGAAAGGGGGUGGAGGUGGCCAGACAGGUCAGCUGUGAAAACUCGAGGGUCAACCUCGAGACGUCGGUUGAAACCGGCUGGCUAGAGUCCGGAAGAGGAGAGUGGAAUUCCCGGUGUAGCGGUGAAAUGCGCAGAUAUCGGGAAGAACACCCGUGGCGAAGGCGGCUCUCUGGGACGGUACUGACGCUGAGACGCGAAAGCGUGGGGAGCGAACAGGAUUAGAUACCCGAGUAGUC
RNAcentral lists this ribosomal RNA (300 nucleotides) under uncultured Bacillus sp. Its description in RNAcentral is "bacterial SSU rRNA". The stretch from base 52 to 300 matches the Rfam family "Bacterial small subunit ribosomal RNA", at positions 547 to 795 of the family's 1533-position model. The record is from RNAcentral. Lineage: Bacteria; Bacillati; Bacillota; Bacilli; Caryophanales; Bacillaceae.